This 467-nucleotide ribosomal RNA is filed under the name uncultured bacterium. RNAcentral's name for it is "bacterial SSU rRNA". It matches the Rfam family "Bacterial small subunit ribosomal RNA", at positions 355 to 825 of the family's 1533-position model. The record is from RNAcentral.
UAAGGAAUAUUGGUCAAUGGAGGCAACUCUGAACCAGCCAUGCCGCGUGCAGGAAGAAGGCCCUAUGGGUCGUAAACUGCUUUUGAACAAGAGAAAACCCAGGUACGUGUACUGGGUUGAUAGUAUUGUUAGAAUAAGCAUCGGCUAACUUCGUGCCAGCAGCCGCGGUAAGACGAAGGAUGCAAGCGUUAUCCGGAUUCAUUGGGUUUAAAGGGUGCGUAGGCGGACUGAUAAGUCAGUGGUGAAAUCUCUCGGCUUAACCGAGAAACUGCCAUUGAUACUGUUAGUCUAGAGUACAGAUGAUGUGGGCGGAAUAUGACAUGUAGUGGUGAAAUACUUAGAUAUGUCAUAGAACACCGAUUGCGAAGGCAGCUCACAAAACUGUAACUGACGCUGAGGCACGAAAGUGCGGGGAUCAAACAGGAUUAGAUACCCCAGUAGUCCCUGAGCGGGCUGGCAAGGCGCAU